CAUGAGGGCUCUGCCCUAAUAAAUGAGAUUAGUGCUCUUGUAAAAGAGGGUUGGGUGAGCUUGUUUGCCCCUUCCGUCAUGCGAGGGCACGUAGAAGGCACCAUCUGAGAGGAACAGGCCCUUACCAGACACCAAGUCUGCUGGGGCCUCAAGCUUAGACUUCCCGGCCUCCAGAACUCAAAGGGAACAUCUGCAGACAUACCGAGUAUUACCGCAGGAGAGAGUGGCUUUUAUAAAGAAGUCCAGGUUCCUCAGUGCAGAAGUUAGCUCAGCUGGCUCAUUCAUCUCUAUGGAAAUUACAACACCCUCUCCAGUGUGACUGAGAUCUUGACAUACGUGUGCAGAUUCACUGGAAGGCAUCUUUCGUACACGGCUGUAUUCUCAUUCUGGAAUUCCAUGUUACUGAACAUUUAAAUUCAUUGACUUCAUUUCAUAGUCUGAAACUUCUCUUGAUUUGGUGCUUCAAAUAGUAGCAUCAAGGUGUCCGCAGUGCCUUCAGCUCUCCAUGUAAUGAUGUCUUCAUUGCCAGCACAUUUUGCUACUUCGGAUGUGAUGGUGAGGUUCACACCCACAGCCAGGUUGUGGUUGCCUCAGUGUGUUGUUGAAGCCCUAGGAGUGCAGCGUGCACUGCCACCAAGGAGCCCUGGGACUGCUCCAUGCUCUGCACAGUCAGCCACUCAAGCUGCCUUCCCAGCAGGCCUUGCUGACAAGGUCCUUGAGAGCCUCCAGCACCUCCACUGGGCUGGACGCCUGGACCAAGCCAGCCUCAAACAUGGUGGCGGCAUCGCCAUGAAGUGGCUACAGUGGGAAGGAGGAAGGUCCAGUGGGAUGAGGCUCCCCUAGGAUCGGAGUGAGUGAGGAGAUGCAGCCACAAGAACCCGAGACCCAGGAAGAUGACCAGGGGGUGUGACGGCUGACUGUCAGUUUUCGUACUGAUUCCAUCGUGGACUGGUAACCAUGAAUGCUUGGACUGGCACUGGUCCAUUGUACAGAUGCCGACUAGUGGUCUAGGCUCUUGCUCUGAAACCAUUCCCACAUAUUUCUGGAAAGUGUUUCAUAUUUGGAG
Lemur catta (Ring-tailed lemur) is the source of this 1066-nucleotide long non-coding RNA. RefSeq lists it as uncharacterized. The transcript is spliced from 3 exons. NCBI's taxonomy places the organism in Eukaryota, Metazoa, Chordata, Mammalia, Primates, Lemuridae. The record is from RefSeq and is a predicted model, not a curated record.